RNAcentral lists this ribosomal RNA (506 nucleotides) under uncultured bacterium. Its description in RNAcentral is "partial 16S ribosomal RNA". It matches the Rfam family "Bacterial small subunit ribosomal RNA", at positions 29 to 523 of the family's 1533-position model. The record is from RNAcentral.
AGUGAACGCUGGCGGUAGGCCUAACACAUGCAAGUCGAACGGCAGCACAGGAGAGCUUGCUCUCUGGGUGGCGAGUGGCGGACGGGUGAGGAAUACAUCGGAAUCUACUCUGUCGUGGGGGAUAACGUAGGGAAACUUACGCUAAUACCGCAUACGACCUACGGGUGAAAGCAGGGGACCUUCGGGCCUUGCGCGAUUGAAUGAGCCGAUGUCGGAUUAGCUAGUUGGCGGGGUAAAGGCCCACCAAGGCGACGAUCCGUAGCUGGUCUGAGAGGAUGACCAACCACACUGGAACUGAGACACGGUCCAGACUCCGACGGGAGGCAGCAGUGGGGAAUAUUGGACAAUGGGCGCAAGCCUGAUCCAGCCAUACCGCGUGGGUGAAGAAGGCCUUCGGAUUGUAAAGCCCUUUUGUUGGGAAGGAAAUCCAGCUGGCUAAUACCCGGUUGGGAUGACGGUACCCAAAGAAUAAGCACCGGCUAACUUCGUGCCAGCAGCCGCCGUAA